RNAcentral lists this ribosomal RNA (2902 nucleotides) under food metagenome. Its description in RNAcentral is "bacterial LSU rRNA". It matches the Rfam family "Bacterial large subunit ribosomal RNA". The record is from RNAcentral.
UUAAGCGACUAAGCGUACACGGUGGAUGCCCUGGCAGUCAGAGGCGAUGAAGGACGUGCUAAUCUGCGAUAAGCGUCGGUAAGGUGAUAUGAACCGUUAUAACCGGCGAUUUCCGAAUGGGGAAACCCAGUGUGAUUCGUCACACUAUCAUUAACUGAAUCCAUAGGUUAAUGAGGCGAACCGGGGGAACUGAAACAUCUAAGUACCCCGAGGAAAAGAAAUCAACCGAGAUUCCCCCAGUAGCGGCGAGCGAACGGGGAGCAGCCCAGAGCCUGAAUCAGUGUGUGUGUUAGUGGAAGCGUCUGGAAAGGCGCGCGAUACAGGGUGACAGCCCCGUACACAAAAAUGCACAUGCUGUGAGCUCGAUGAGUAGGGCGGGACACGUGGUAUCCUGUCUGAAUAUGGGGGGACCAUCCUCCAAGGCUAAAUACUCCUGACUGACCGAUAGUGAACCAGUACCGUGAGGGAAAGGCGAAAAGAACCCCGGCGAGGGGAGUGAAAAAGAACCUGAAACCGUGUACGUACAAGCAGUGGGAGCACGCUUAGGCGUGUGACUGCGUACCUUUUGUAUAAUGGGUCAGCGACUUAUAUUCUGUAGCAAGGUUAACCGAAUAGGGGAGCCGAAGGGAAACCGAGUCUUAACUGGGCGUUAAGUUGCAGGGUAUAGACCCGAAACCCGGUGAUCUAGCCAUGGGCAGGUUGAAGGUUGGGUAACACUAACUGGAGGACCGAACCGACUAAUGUUGAAAAAUUAGCGGAUGACUUGUGGCUGGGGGUGAAAGGCCAAUCAAACCGGGAGAUAGCUGGUUCUCCCCGAAAGCUAUUUAGGUAGCGCCUCGUGAAUUCAUCUCCGGGGGUAGAGCACUGUUUCGGCAAGGGGGUCAUCCCGACUUACCAACCCGAUGCAAACUGCGAAUACCGGAGAAUGUUAUCACGGGAGACACACGGCGGGUGCUAACGUCCGUCGUGAAGAGGGAAACAACCCAGACCGCCAGCUAAGGUCCCAAAGUCAUGGUUAAGUGGGAAACGAUGUGGGAAGGCCCAGACAGCCAGGAUGUUGGCUUAGAAGCAGCCAUCAUUUAAAGAAAGCGUAAUAGCUCACUGGUCGAGUCGGCCUGCGCGGAAGAUGUAACGGGGCUAAACCAUGCACCGAAGCUGCGGCAGCGACGCUUAUGCGUUGUUGGGUAGGGGAGCGUUCUGUAAGCCUGCGAAGGUGUACUGUGAGGUAUGCUGGAGGUAUCAGAAGUGCGAAUGCUGACAUAAGUAACGAUAAAGCGGGUGAAAAGCCCGCUCGCCGGAAGACCAAGGGUUCCUGUCCAACGUUAAUCGGGGCAGGGUGAGUCGACCCCUAAGGCGAGGCCGAAAGGCGUAGUCGAUGGGAAACAGGUUAAUAUUCCUGUACUUGGUGUUACUGCGAAGGGGGGACGGAGAAGGCUAUGUUGGCCGGGCGACGGUUGUCCCGGUUUAAGCGUGUAGGCUGGUUUUCCAGGCAAAUCCGGAAAAUCAAGGCUGAGGCGUGAUGACGAGGCACUACGGUGCUGAAGCAACAAAUGCCCUGCUUCCAGGAAAAGCCUCUAAGCAUCAGGUAACAUCAAAUCGUACCCCAAACCGACACAGGUGGUCAGGUAGAGAAUACCAAGGCGCUUGAGAGAACUCGGGUGAAGGAACUAGGCAAAAUGGUGCCGUAACUUCGGGAGAAGGCACGCUGAUAUGUAGGUGAAGUCCCUCGCGGAUGGAGCUGAAAUCAGUCGAAGAUACCAGCUGGCUGCAACUGUUUAUUAAAAACACAGCACUGUGCAAACACGAAAGUGGACGUAUACGGUGUGACGCCUGCCCGGUGCCGGAAGGUUAAUUGAUGGGGUCAGCGCAAGCGAAGCUCUUGAUCGAAGCCCCGGUAAACGGCGGCCGUAACUAUAACGGUCCUAAGGUAGCGAAAUUCCUUGUCGGGUAAGUUCCGACCUGCACGAAUGGCGUAAUGAUGGCCAGGCUGUCUCCACCCGAGACUCAGUGAAAUUGAACUCGCUGUGAAGAUGCAGUGUACCCGCGGCAAGACGGAAAGACCCCGUGAACCUUUACUAUAGCUUGACACUGAACAUUGAGCCUUGAUGUGUAGGAUAGGUGGGAGGCUUUGAAGUGUGGACGCCAGUCUGCAUGGAGCCGACCUUGAAAUACCACCCUUUAAUGUUUGAUGUUCUAACGUUGACCCGUGAUCCGGGUUGCGGACAGUGUCUGGUGGGUAGUUUGACUGGGGCGGUCUCCUCCUAAAGAGUAACGGAGGAGCACGAAGGUUGGCUAAUCCUGGUCGGACAUCAGGAGGUUAGUGCAAUGGCAUAAGCCAGCUUGACUGCGAGCGUGACGGCGCGAGCAGGUGCGAAAGCAGGUCAUAGUGAUCCGGUGGUUCUGAAUGGAAGGGCCAUCGCUCAACGGAUAAAAGGUACUCCGGGGAUAACAGGCUGAUACCGCCCAAGAGUUCAUAUCGACGGCGGUGUUUGGCACCUCGAUGUCGGCUCAUCACAUCCUGGGGCUGAAGUAGGUCCCAAGGGUAUGGCUGUUCGCCAUUUAAAGUGGUACGCGAGCUGGGUUUAGAACGUCGUGAGACAGUUCGGUCCCUAUCUGCCGUGGGCGCUGGAGAACUGAGGGGGGCUGCUCCUAGUACGAGAGGACCGGAGUGGACGCAUCACUGGUGUUCGGGUUGUCAUGCCAAUGGCACUGCCCGGUAGCUAAAUGCGGAAGAGAUAAGUGCUGAAAGCAUCUAAGCACGAAACUUGCCCCGAGAUGAGUUCUCCCUGACUCCUUGAGAGUCCUGAAGGAACGUUGAAGACGACGACGUUGAUAGGCCGGGUGUGUAAGCGCAGCGAUGCGUUGAGCUAACCGGUACUAAUGAACCGUGAGGCUUAACCUU